CUUAGGGUAGUAAAAGAGAAUUACGGCAGUUUUUCGUAUUGCAGUUGGCUUUGGUCCUCUAAGU
This 64-nucleotide transfer RNA is filed under the name Pinctada maxima (silver-lipped pearl oyster). RNAcentral describes it as "tRNA-Glu". Lineage: Eukaryota; Metazoa; Mollusca; Bivalvia; Pterioida; Pteriidae. The record is from RNAcentral.